UUUUAAUGAGAGUUUGAUCCUGGCUCAGGACGAACGCUGGCGGCGUGCCUAAUACAUGCAAGUAGAACGCUGAUGUUUGGUGUUUACACUAGACUGAUGAGUUGCGAACGGGUGAGUAACGCGUAGGUAACCUGCCUCAUAGCGGGGGAUAACUAUUGGAAACGAUAGCUAAUACCGCAUAAGAGUGUUAACACAUGUUAGUUAUUUAAAAGGAGCAAUUGCUUCACUGUGAGAUGGACCUGCGUUGUAUUAGCUAGUUGGUGAGGUAAAGGCUCACCAAGGCGACGAUACAUAGCCGACCUGAGAGGGUGAUCGGCCACACUGGGACUGAGACACGGCCCAGACUCCUACGGGAGGCAGCAGUAGGGAAUCUU
This 374-nucleotide ribosomal RNA is filed under the name Streptococcus agalactiae. RNAcentral describes it as "bacterial SSU rRNA". It matches the Rfam family "Bacterial small subunit ribosomal RNA", at positions 1 to 365 of the family's 1533-position model. Lineage: Bacteria; Bacillati; Bacillota; Bacilli; Lactobacillales; Streptococcaceae. The record is from RNAcentral.